GCGGGCGGGCGGAGGCUGACGGGAAGCGAGUUUGGCGCCGCGCGCCCUCCCACGCGGACCAAUCAGAUCUCUGGACGCGGGGACGUCGCUUUGCGGAGGGAACGUCGGCGGGUCAAGCAGUCCGCUAGGCCCCCGGAAGUGAUGCAACUCCCACCCGCCCCACCACGGGCCUUGCGGCCCCCGCCCGGACAUGCCCGGAAGUUCCUGCGAGCCGCUGGGGCUCGGUGUGGGUCCGCGAUACUUCCGUGCGGGCUGGGCGGGCCUCGGCCUUGUGCCUCCCCCUGGGUGGAGGGGCCGAGCCGCAGCCUGCGGUCCCUCGGCUGCUCAGGGUCUUGGAUUUGCUUGUUUUUCGGGUCCUUUGAGGCUAACAUCUCCGCGGAUCCCAAGCGCCCGGCCGAGACGGUGCUGCGCCAGGAGAACAGCUGGCGCGUGGUCGCUGUGUGAGCCAGCGGCCUCCACUCUGCCUCCGUUGCAGGCAUCUCCGGUCUCUCCCUGUGGUUUUUGUUUUAUCCUCACUUUCACCCAAGUUUAAGAUCUUGCAUCCUUUUAAUUUCUGUAAAUAGUCUUAAACAGUAACGGGUGCAUGCUAGGAAAUUUGCGAGUUUUUGUUUUUUAGCAAGGUGAUCCAUAAUUUUGACUUAACAGCUUUAAAAGAAAACUUAAAAUUAAAGGCUUAAAAAUUUUCUAUUAUCUUUUACCUGAGCUCCGUGGACUCCUCCCCGAUGGAGGCACCUGCCUGGAAUUGAAGGGCGUACCUGCCCAGGUUCACGGGCACAACUCUGAAAUGAACUCUUAUCUCCUGGCUGAAAAUUUGUUAAAAAAAGAAAUGCUGAAACCCUGUUGAGAAAUACAGGGGAAAGACACAAACAGCGUAUUUACAAAAGAAGACCCACAUGUCCAAUAAACAGGAAAACCUUCAGCUUUAAUAAUAAGAAAAAUGCAAAUAAAAACACGAUUUAAGUGGCA
Non-coding RNA from Vicugna pacos (alpaca), 966 nucleotides. Lineage: Eukaryota; Metazoa; Chordata; Mammalia; Artiodactyla; Camelidae. The record is from RefSeq and is a predicted model, not a curated record.